CAGCAGCCGCGGUAAUACGUAGGUGGCAAGCGUUAUCCGGAAUUAUUGGGCGUAAAGCGCGCGUAGGCGGUUUUUUAAGUCUGAUGUGAAAGCCCACGGCUCAACCGUGGAGGGUCAUUGGAAACUGGAAAACUUGAGUGCAGAAGAGGAAAGUGGAAUUCCAUGUGUAGCGGUGAAAUGCGCAGAGAUAUGGAGGAACACCAGUGGCGAAGGCGACUUUCUGGUCGGUAACUGACGCUGAUGUGCGAAAGCGUGGGGAUCAAACAGGAUUAGAUACCCGCGUAGUCCCUGUCUCUUAUAC
Molecule: ribosomal RNA, 301 nt
Filed under: uncultured bacterium
Lineage: Bacteria
Description: partial 16S ribosomal RNA
Rfam family: Bacterial small subunit ribosomal RNA
Source: RNAcentral